RNAcentral lists this long non-coding RNA (615 nucleotides) under Diabrotica virgifera virgifera (western corn rootworm). Its description in RNAcentral is "uncharacterized LOC126883064". Lineage: Eukaryota; Metazoa; Arthropoda; Insecta; Coleoptera; Chrysomelidae. The record is from RNAcentral.
ACUUUAAACUUUGAUUUGGGCCCGGUCUUUUCACCUCCGAAUAAAUAUGCUCUUAUCUGGCAGUUAGCUAUCUGGAGGAUAAAUAUUUAUUCGCCAGAUAAAAAGUACCCGUCUUUUCACGUCAAUUUAUGUUCCAGUUAGUUAUCCGGUAGAUAAGCUUAAAAGUAAGUUUGGAUUCCGAACACACCUUCAGCUUUAACUUAACCUAACAUAAUUAGAUUCAAAGUAUUUCAAAGAUGAUUUUAUCGAUUUUAUUUCCAUUUUGGAAGAAGGAAUGAAGGAAAUAAGGAAAACAUUGAUUAUGCUGAAAUAGUUUACUGGAGAGCUUGAACAAGAGAUAUGACAAACACCUAGAAGAUGGAAUCCUGUGUUCUCAAAGAAAAAGCUAGUUCCAGAAAUAAGCUACCAAUAAUAAACUAGAGAAUGUAUUACAAGAAAGAACAACGCUAAUACCCAACAUAGCUCAAUUGCUUCAGAUAGAAAAAGAGGAGGAAAGGGUAGAACACAAGCGUGCCAGAGAAAAUUAAAGGGCAGAAGAGACACAAAAAUUCAUUGAUUUAUUAAAUUUAAUAAUUAAAUUAUACAAAGGACAAUUAAAUAAAGAAUAAAAAAUUA